CAAGCUCGCGAGAGUAAGCUAAUCUCUUAAAGCCGUCUCAGUUCGGACUGUAGGCUGCAACUCGCCUACACGAAGUCGGAAUCGCUAGUAAUCGCGGAUCAGCAUGCCGCGGUGAAUACGUUCCCGGGCCUUGUACACACCGCCCGUCACACCAUGGGAGUUUGUAACGCCCAAAGUCGGUGGCCUAACCUUUAUAGGAGUCAGCCGUCUAAGGUAGGACAGAUGAUUAGGGUGAAGUCGUAACAAGGUAUC
This 252-nucleotide ribosomal RNA is filed under the name uncultured bacterium. RNAcentral's name for it is "partial 16S ribosomal RNA". It matches the Rfam family "Bacterial small subunit ribosomal RNA", at positions 1250 to 1500 of the family's 1533-position model. The record is from RNAcentral.